GCGAGAGUGGCGGAAUCGGCAGACGCGCUGGCUUUAGGUGCCAGUGUCCGUAAGGACGUGGGGGUUCGAGUCCCCCCUCUCGCA
Molecule: transfer RNA, 84 nt
Filed under: Actinomycetota bacterium
Lineage: Bacteria; Bacillati; Actinomycetota
Description: tRNA-Leu
Rfam family: tRNA
About the family: Transfer RNA (tRNA) molecules are approximately 80 nucleotides in length. Their secondary structure includes four short double-helical elements and three loops (D, anti-codon, and T loops).
Source: RNAcentral